Long non-coding RNA from Mustela erminea (ermine), 1143 nucleotides. RefSeq lists it as uncharacterized. The record is from RefSeq and is a predicted model, not a curated record. The transcript is spliced from 3 exons. Lineage: Eukaryota; Metazoa; Chordata; Mammalia; Carnivora; Mustelidae.
GCGCUUCGUUUCCGUGGUCAAGGCCGACUGCAAGCAACCGGCGACGCGCCGCGAGUGACCGCAGGGAGCGGAGUCGCUUUCAAGGAGCGAGAAGUUAAUCAGGAGCUACCAGUUUAGACCAACGUUCAUAGGGUGGUUCUCAAACCUUGCGGCCCAGUAAAUGUCACCCGGAAGGUUUUCAAACUACCAGUACCUAGGUCCCACCUUCAAACUGGCCCAAGCAAAGGCGGUUUGUAAAAUCUGCCCAGGCGAUUCUAUAUCCACCAACUUUUCUCAGCCAAGAUUGAAAGCCACUGUUACAGAAUUAAACCGAUAAGGAGGAGCAGUGCCCCUGAAUUUCAACCCGCCCUGAGGCUAACGGACUGCCAGCGGUUCCGCAUCCUUCACGGGCAAAAACCUUUCCAGAGACCCGGGACUCUAAGCCCACCAGGGGGCGCGCGUGUCCCACCAAUUACCCGCAGGUCGUAUCCUUCCUACGCAGGCAGCGUCUUUCCUCCCGGGGGUUGCGGAUCCCGGGUGCGGGUGCGGGUGCGGAGACGCGUCUACACACCCCUUGCCCAGUGGGGCCGCCUCUGCUCCGCCUCGUCUGAGCUCGGUAUAUCUCGGCGGCCCCUAGCUGUAUUGUAUGUAAAGUAUGGGGUGGACGUCUGAUCGCGCGUCUUAGUCAUUGUUACAGAAAUUAAUAAUUUUUAAAAUUGGGUUCGCCGUACAUUGGGAACAGCCUUAGUAGAUGCACAUCGAGGAUAUAUGUAGCUGAGAUACGCCUUUUAAGGGGGGGUGGGGUUUAAAAAAAAAAAAGAUGCAAAACACGAACUCCUUCGAGCCGGAUUCGAACCAGCGACCUAAGGAUGCCUGAGGAGCUUCCACUACAGUCCUCCGCUCUACCAACUGAGCUAUCGAAGGAAUCACACUGUUCGCUUCACUCGCAGAGGAUGCCAUCUCUGCGCAAGGUUGUGAGCGUGUCGGUGCUAGUUGGUGAUUCACCGGUAUUGUUCCCGGGUCUGCCCUAACCGCGCCCACUUUUAUUUCUUUUUUCUUUUUUUCUUUUUUUUUUAAAUAAUCCAGCACCCCGUUGGAACUGACACUCAAAGAUCCACAGCCCUGGAGAAGAAAAACGGGAGCAUCCACUGGUUUUCGAAAAGU